RNAcentral lists this ribosomal RNA (434 nucleotides) under Sternaspis sendalli. RNAcentral's name for it is "partial 16S ribosomal RNA". It matches the Rfam family "Bacterial large subunit ribosomal RNA", at positions 1955 to 2604 of the family's 2925-position model. The record is from RNAcentral. Lineage: Eukaryota; Metazoa; Annelida; Polychaeta; Terebellida; Sternaspidae.
GGUAGCAUAAUCAUUUGCCUCUUAAUUAGUGGCUAGUAUGAAUGGACAAACGAGAAUUCCCCUGUCUCUAUAAAGCCAAUGAAAAUUAAUCUUCAGGUGAAGAAGCCUGAAUCUCAUUAAAAGACAAAAAGACCCUAUUGAGCUUACAUUCAAUCUCUAAAAUAUUAAAAUAAAAUAAAACUACCCUUUUUACAAGAAUUUUGCUGGGGCGGCAAAGGAACAACCAAAAAUUCCUUUUCUCAAAGACUUAUAAGUCUAUUAACUGAUCCGUAUUAACGAUUAACAAAACUAGUUACCAUAGGGAUAACAGGCUAAUUUUUCUCUAAAGCUCACAUUAACAGAAAAGAUUGGCACCUCGAUGUUGGCUUAGGAUAUCCUAAGGGCGCAGAAGCCUUUUAAGGUGGGUUUGUUCAACCUUUAAAAUCCUACGUGAU